CAGAAUCUGCUACACAAGCAAUUGGGCCCAUACCCCAAAAACGGCGAAACUCGCCUUCUGAUA
RNAcentral lists this transfer RNA (63 nucleotides) under Acanthosaura lepidogaster. Its description in RNAcentral is "tRNA-Met". Lineage: Eukaryota; Metazoa; Chordata; Lepidosauria; Squamata; Agamidae. The record is from RNAcentral.